Molecule: transfer RNA, 83 nt
Filed under: Apaloderma vittatum (bar-tailed trogon)
Lineage: Eukaryota; Metazoa; Chordata; Aves; Trogoniformes; Trogonidae
Rfam family: tRNA
About the family: Transfer RNA (tRNA) molecules are approximately 80 nucleotides in length. Their secondary structure includes four short double-helical elements and three loops (D, anti-codon, and T loops).
Source: Rfam by way of RNAcentral
GGCCAGUUAGCUCAGUGAUUUGAGCAUGGUGCUGGCAACAAUGGCCGACACCGAGGUCGCGGGUUUGAUUCCCGCUCGGUCCC